This 482-nucleotide ribosomal RNA is filed under the name uncultured bacterium. RNAcentral describes it as "partial 16S ribosomal RNA". It matches the Rfam family "Bacterial small subunit ribosomal RNA", at positions 28 to 523 of the family's 1533-position model. The record is from RNAcentral.
GACGAACGCUGGCGGCGUGCUUAACACAUGCAAGUCGAACGAUGAAGCCCAGCUUGCUGGGUGGAUUAGUGGCGAACGGGUGAGUAACACGUGGGCAACCUGCCCCAAACUCUGGGAUAACUCCUCGAAAGAGGUGCUAAUACCGGAUACGAACUAGACAGACAUCUGUACUAGUUGGAAUGUUUUUCGGUUUGGGAUGGGCCCGCGGCCUAUCAGCUUGUUGGUGAGGUAACGGCUCACCAAGGCUACGACGGGUAACCGGCCUGAGAGGGCGACCGGUCACACUGGGACUGAGACACGGCCCAGACUCCUACGGGAGGCAGCAGUGGGGAAUAUUGCGCAAUGGGCGAAAGCCUGUCGCAGCGACGCCGCGUGAGGGAUGAAGGUCUUCGGAUCGUAAACCUCUUUCAGUAGGGACGAAGCGAAAGUGACGGUACCUAAAGAAGAAGCACCGGCUAACUACGUGCCAGCAGCCGCCGUAA